RNAcentral lists this ribosomal RNA (552 nucleotides) under Diodon holocanthus (long-spine porcupinefish). RNAcentral describes it as "partial 16S ribosomal RNA". It matches the Rfam family "Bacterial large subunit ribosomal RNA", at positions 1860 to 2611 of the family's 2925-position model. Lineage: Eukaryota; Metazoa; Chordata; Actinopteri; Tetraodontiformes; Diodontidae. The record is from RNAcentral.
UGCCCUGUGACUAUAUGUUUAACGGCCGCGGUAUUUUGACCGUGCGAAGGUAGCGCAAUCACUUGUCCUUUAAAUGGGGACCUGUAUGAAUGGCACGACGAGGGCUUAACUGUCUCCUCUUUUAGGUCAAUGAAAUUGAUCUCUCCGUGCAGAAGCGGAGAUACAACCAUAAGACGAGAAGACCCUGUGGAGCUUUAGACACCAAAACAGACCAUGUUAAACACCCUAAAACAAAAGGCCAAACUUAAUGCCCCCUGCCUUGAUGUCUUCGGUUGGGGUGACCGAGGAGAAGAACACAACCUCCAUGCGGAAUAGGAGUACUACUCCCACAACCAUGAACCCCCGUUCUAAUCACCAGAAUUUCUGACCCUACGAUCCGGCAACGCCGAUUAACGAACCAAGUUACCCCAGGGAUAACAGCGCAAUCCCCUUUUAGAGCCCCUAUCAACAAGGGGGUUUACGACCUCGAUGUUGGAUCAGGACAUCCUAAUGGCGCAGCCGCUAUUAAGGGUUCGUUUGUUCAACGAUUUAAAGUCCUACGUGAUCUGAGUU